Molecule: transfer RNA, 77 nt
Filed under: Lysobacteraceae bacterium
Lineage: Bacteria; Pseudomonadati; Pseudomonadota; Gammaproteobacteria; Lysobacterales; Lysobacteraceae
Also listed under: 5 other names
Description: tRNA-Arg
Rfam family: tRNA
About the family: Transfer RNA (tRNA) molecules are approximately 80 nucleotides in length. Their secondary structure includes four short double-helical elements and three loops (D, anti-codon, and T loops).
Source: RNAcentral
GCGCCCGUAGCUCAGCUGGAUAGAGUAUUGCCCUCCGAAGGCAAGGGUCACAGGUUCGAAUCCUGUCGGGCGCACCA